GCGCCUAACACAUGCAAGUCGAACGAGAGAUGAGGAGCUUGCUCUUCAAAUCGAGUGGCGAACGGGUGAGUAACGCGUGAGGAACCUGCCUCAAAGAGGGGGACAACAGUUGGAAACGACUGCUAAUACCGCAUAAGCCCGCGGCUCGGCAUCGAGCAGAGGGAAAAGGAGCAAUCCGCUUUGAGAUGGCCUCGCGUCCGAUUAGCUAGUUGGUGAGGUAACGGCCCACCAAGGCGACGAUCGGUAGCCGGACUGAGAGGUUGAACGGCCACAUUGGGACUGAGACACGGCCCAGACUCCUACGGGAGGCAGCAGUGGGGAAUAUUGCACAAUGGGGGAAACCCUGAUGCAGCGACGCCGCGUGGAGGAAGAAGGUCUUCGGAUUGUAAACUCCUGUUGUUGAGGAAGAUAAUGACGGUACUCAACAAGGAAGUGACGGCUAACUACGUGCCAGCAGCCGCGGUAAAACGUAGGUCACAAGCGUUGUCCGGAAUUACUGGGUGUAAAGGGAGCGCAGGCGGGAGAACAAGUUGGAAGUGAAAUCCAUGGGCUCAACCCAUGAACUGCUUUCAAAACUGUUUUUCUUGAGUAGUGCAGAGGUAGGCGGAAUUCCCGGUGUAGCGGUGGAAUGCGUAGAUAUCGGGAGGAACACCAGUGGCGAAGGCGGCCUACUGGGCACCAACU
This 684-nucleotide ribosomal RNA is filed under the name uncultured Lachnospiraceae bacterium. Its description in RNAcentral is "bacterial SSU rRNA". It matches the Rfam family "Bacterial small subunit ribosomal RNA", at positions 44 to 741 of the family's 1533-position model. The record is from RNAcentral. Lineage: Bacteria; Bacillati; Bacillota; Clostridia; Lachnospirales; Lachnospiraceae.